Molecule: unclassified non-coding RNA, 354 nt
Filed under: soil metagenome
Description: partial contains 5.8S ribosomal RNA, internal transcribed spacer 2, and large subunit ribosomal RNA
Rfam family: 5.8S ribosomal RNA (bases 1-120)
Source: RNAcentral
GAUGAAGAACGCAGCGAAACGCGAUAUGUAAUGUGAAUUGCAGAAUUCAGUGAAUCAUCGAAUCUUUGAACGCACAUGGCGCCUUCCAGUAUCCUGGGAGGCAUGCCUGUCCGAGCGUCGUUUCAACCCUCGAGCCCCCGUGGCCCGGCGUUGGGGAUCUGCCCAGGCAGUCCCCGAAAACCAGUGGCGGACCCGUUACAGGCCCUUCCCUUGCGUAGUAGCAUUCGCCUCGCAUCGGGAGCCGGCGGGCUUCCAGCCUCUAAACCCCCAUCAAGUCCGCCCCGGCGGCACCAAGGUUGUCCUCGGAUCAGGUAGGAAUACCCGCUGAACUUAAGCAUAUCAAUAAGCGGAGGA